Non-coding RNA from Danio rerio (zebrafish), 226 nucleotides. The record is from RefSeq and is a predicted model, not a curated record. NCBI's taxonomy places the organism in Eukaryota, Metazoa, Chordata, Actinopteri, Cypriniformes, Danionidae.
UCGUUAAAAUACAACGCCUGGAAAUGGCAAAAACGCCACUUUUUCCAUUUUCAGGCUGAUCAGACAUUGUGGGGUUGAGUUAUGAAGCCUUCCAGGUCAAUGGCGAAGCAUUGAGGUUUGUCAUGCCGCCAUGGACACGCCCCUCUCCGAAAACUCUAGAUCUUCACAAUAUAUCAUCACUAGAGCUUUUAGAUAACACUACCCAAUUUUGGUGCUGAUACGAUAA